GCCGAGGGGAAGCAGUGCAGCUGACAGACGUCUGGAGCGAGGAGACUGCAGGAGCGCAGGUCCACCGUCUGCAGCGAAGUACAGCGACGCAACAGAGGAAGACACUGCUCCGUCACCUUCACACAGCCUGAAACACACACACAGGUCAUCUGAGAAACACACACACAGCCUGAAACACACACACAGGUCAUCUGAGAAACACACACACAGCCUGAAACACACACACAGGUCAUCUGAGAAACACACACACAGGUCAUCUGAGAAACACACACACAGCCUGAAACACACACACAGGUCAUCUGAGAAACACACACACAGCCUGAAACACACACACAGGUCAUCUGAGAAACACACACACAGCCUGAAACACACACACAGCCUGAAACACACACACAGGUCAUCUGAGAAACACACACACAGCCUGAAACACACACACAGGUCAUCUGAGAAACACACACACAGGUCAUCUGAGAAACACACACACACAG
Long non-coding RNA from Carassius gibelio (silver crucian carp), 488 nucleotides. RefSeq lists it as uncharacterized. Lineage: Eukaryota; Metazoa; Chordata; Actinopteri; Cypriniformes; Cyprinidae. The transcript is spliced from 4 exons. The record is from RefSeq and is a predicted model, not a curated record.